This 139-nucleotide ribozyme is filed under the name Xenopus borealis (Kenyan clawed frog). RNAcentral's name for it is "Manganese dependent ribozyme in Vg1 mRNA". It matches the Rfam family "Manganese dependent ribozyme in Vg1 mRNA". Lineage: Eukaryota; Metazoa; Chordata; Amphibia; Anura; Pipidae. The record is from Rfam by way of RNAcentral.
AAUAAUAAUAAUAAUAAUAUCUUGGAAAAACAGGGUAUAUAAACCAUUGACUCUUAUUAUUUCACUAAAAUUAGAUUAGGUACUUGCACAAUUCACUGCACAGAGUAAUCCUCCAAUAUGAAAAGAACAUUAAAAAAUA